CCCCCUGAAUUUAAGCAUAUUAAUAAGGGGAGGAAGAGAAACUAACUAGGAUUCCCUUAGUAGCGGCGAGCGAAACGGGAUAAGCCCAGCACUAAGCCCAUCUAGCAGCAAUGCUUUAUGGGGAUGCAGUGUAUGGAGAGUUCAUUAGCUCAUUGCAAUCGGUUAGUAGAUUCAAGUCCAUCUUGAAUGGGGCCACUUAUCCCAUAGAGGGUGCCAGGCCCGUAGCAAUUACUUUCCGGCAGUUUGCGAACUCCUCCUAAGAGUCGUGUUGCUUGAUAGUGCAGCACAAAGUGGGUGGUAAACUCCAUCUAAGGCUAAAUAUAACCACGAGACCGAUAGAGAACAAGUACCGUGAGGGAAAGUUGAAAAGAACUCUGAAUAGAGAGUUAAAGAGUACGUGAAACCGUAUAGGGGUUAAG
This 419-nucleotide ribosomal RNA is filed under the name Phlebotomus argentipes. RNAcentral describes it as "eukaryotic LSU rRNA". It matches the Rfam family "Eukaryotic large subunit ribosomal RNA", at positions 24 to 420 of the family's 3401-position model. Lineage: Eukaryota; Metazoa; Arthropoda; Insecta; Diptera; Psychodidae. The record is from RNAcentral.